GGGAGAGUAGGUGAUUCAUGGGUAUUACAGCUUCCUGCUUGCUCUCUCUGUCUCUGAGCCCUCCCUCUGCAGGAAGCCCGUGCCGUGUCCUGAGGACGGGUGAGCAGCCCAGUGGAGAGAUCUACCCGGUGAGGAACUGAAACCUCCCUGCAGUCAUGUGAGGGAGCCACCAUAGAGGCAGACCCUCCAGCCUGAGUCAAGCCUUCAGAUGACUGCAGAUGACAUCUUGACCACAACCUCAGAAUCGAUUCUGAGCCAGAACCACUCAGCUAAGCCACUCCCACAUUCCUGACUGUCAGAAACUGAGUGACAUAAUGACUCUGUGGUUUUAGGCUGCUAUAUCUGGGAGCAAUUUGUUCAACAGGAGUGGCACCUACCUGAAGUAUUAAUAGUUGUUGAGAGUCACCUUUCUCACCCCUUCACUUGAUGGCGCUGUUGUGCAACUGCAAACUCCUGUGGAGACGACUUGUCUCAUUGUACACCAGACAAGAGAUAAAAAGCAAGAUUUGAGAGAGGUUCAUGGAUCAACUGGCACCAUCUGCUUAGUUCUACAAAGUGGAGUUUCUGGGUAUCAUUCUCCAUUUCUGUACACAAAGUGCUGUGAAGCUCAAGAAGAAACAGUUCUGCGCAGGAUUCACCAUAUAAAAAUGCUAACAUCUGACAAACUGGACCACUCAAAGAGAAGACACCAGAGCUGGGUCGGGCACAGUGGCUCACGUCUGUAAUCCCAGCACUUUGGGAGGCCAAGGCGGG
This 753-nucleotide long non-coding RNA is filed under the name Rhinopithecus roxellana (golden snub-nosed monkey). RNAcentral describes it as "lncRNA (ENSRROG00000045819.1)". The record is from RNAcentral. Lineage: Eukaryota; Metazoa; Chordata; Mammalia; Primates; Cercopithecidae.